GACGAACGCUGGCGGCGUGCUUAACACAUGCAAGUCGAGCGAUGAAGCACCUUCGGGUGUGGAUUAGCGGCGAACGGGUGAGGAACACGUGAAGAAUCUGCCUUCAACUCUGGGAUAACUCCGGGAAACCGGGGCUAAUACCGGAUAUGAGCCUUGGCCGCAUGGCCGGGGCUGGAAAGUUUUUCGGUUGAAGAUGACUUCGCGGCCUAUCAGCUUGUUGGUGAGGUAAUGGCUCACCAAGGCGACGACGGGUAGCCGGCCUGAGAGGGCGACCGGCCACACUGGGAAUGAGACACGGCCCAGACUCCUACGGGAGGCAGCAGUGGGGAAUAUUGGGCAAUGGAGGAAACUCUGACCCAGCGACGCCGCGUGAGGGAUGAAGGCCUUCGGGUUGUAAACCUCUUUCAGCUAUGACGAAGCGCAAGUGACGGUAGUAGCAGAAGAAGGACCGGCCAACUACGUGCCAGCCGCCGCGGUAA
Molecule: ribosomal RNA, 479 nt
Filed under: uncultured bacterium
Lineage: Bacteria
Description: partial 16S ribosomal RNA
Rfam family: Bacterial small subunit ribosomal RNA
Source: RNAcentral